Long non-coding RNA from Mya arenaria, 3116 nucleotides. RefSeq lists it as uncharacterized. The transcript is spliced from 6 exons. The record is from RefSeq and is a predicted model, not a curated record. NCBI's taxonomy places the organism in Eukaryota, Metazoa, Mollusca, Bivalvia, Myida, Myidae.
CCUCCACAAGUUAACAUAUUAAAAAGUAUAAAAACAAGUUAACAAGUUAACAUAUUUCUCGUUGAAUUGACACUGUUUAAUGUAAAACUCUUGUACAUCGUAUGUACAAGUUAUGAAAUCAACAACAAAAUUGACUUGACAUUCUAUAAAUAAAUAGCCGUCUAAACAUUUGCAUUCAAUCUACACAGUAUGCGGAUGCAACCAUUAAAGCCAUUUCUGUGGGAACGUGGUACAGUCCAAGAUGGAAUGGACAGAAUGGAUGAUUGCAGAUAAGGAUGGAAAUGAUGAAGAACCAAUCAGCCAGCUGGUCUACUGUACACCCUAGCUGAACUUGGUGUGCGCCAACAUGCGAUUUUCUCUUUUAAGCGAACUCUCCCCUCCUGCCAAGCAAAACCAUGGUGGAGUGUGAGAUUGUGAUUGAAAGAUGAAUGGGCGGUUGCCGAUGGUGUUGCUGUGGACCACAGAUUGUGUGAAAUAUUGUAACUAGUCUGUCCAGGGUGUGGGAGAGGUUACCCAUCCUGCCAAACACCACCAUGGCUGAGUGAGAGUUGCGACUAAAACCAUGGAUGGGAAGGGCUGUACCCUUUCCAUGAAACAACAUGGCUUGCAAGCCUGGUUGUUGAAGCCACAGAGGUAUUCUUAAGGACAAGAACCAGCGAUGGUCAAAACGUGGUCUUGUAUGGAAUUCCAUACCGGUUCUCGGCAAGGAUUUCCGAGAAAGGAAUACCAUAUCCAAAUUGGGAUCGAUCACUUCAGUACCAUAUUCACCAGUAACAUUUUAUCCAGGAUACCAGAGUGGCAUCUAGGAUUGAUCACUUCAGAACCAUAUUCACCAGUAACGUUUUAUCCAGGAUACCAGAGUGGCAUCUAGGAUCGAUCACUUCAGAACCAUAUUCACCAGUAACGUUUUAUCCAGGAUACCAGAGUGGCAUCUGGGAUUGAUCACUAACACUUCAGUACCGUAUUCAGCAGUUACAUUUUAUCCAGGAUACCAGAGUGGGUUUGAUCAUUUAAGUACCGAAAUCAUCAGUAACAUUUUAUCUAGGAUAUCAGAGUGGCAUCUGGGAUUGAUCACUUCAGAACCAUAUUCACCAGUAACGUUUUAUCCAGGAUACCAGAGUGGCAUCUAGGAUUGAUCACUUCAGAACCAUAUUCACCAGUAACGUUUUAUCCAGGAUACCAGAGUGGCAUCUGGGAUUGAUCACUUCAGAACCAUAUUCACCAGUAACGUUUUAUCCCGGAUACCAGAGUGGCAUCUGGGAUUGACCACUUCAGAACCAUAUUCACCAGUAACGUUUUAUCCAGGAUACCAGAGUGGCAUCUGGGAUUGACCACUUCAGAACCAUAUUCACCAGUAACGUUUUAUCCAGGAUACCAGAGUGGCAUCUGGGAUUGAUCACUUCAGAACCAUAUUCACCAGUAACGUUUUAUCCCGGAUACCAGAGUGGCAUCUGGGAUUGAUCACUUCAGGACCGUAUUCCCCAGUAAGGUUUUAUCCAGGAUACCAGAGAAUGGAUCUGGGAUCGAUGACUUAAGUACCGUAAUCAACAAGAACGUUUAAGCUAGGAGACAACAAUUACAUAUGCACCACAAAGUGUUCUCAAAAGAGCAUCAUAAACUGUAAUAAAUAUCUUCUUAAUUUUAAUUAAUAAGUGAAAUUGGUUAAAUUUUAUAAAAAAAAAACUUCAUUUAAACGCUAGCAUUGUUUUAUUGAAAGUGUUUGGAAGAAGAUCUUUACUUCCUUUACUGCACAAAUCUUCAGUCUGCAGUUAUGCUUAUUUAUUAUAAAUUAUUGAAAACAAGUUUUUAAACAUCAGGCACAAAAUUGUAUUUGUCAGUACAUUGUAUUGUAGAAUUACCAUGUCAUGAUUUUGUACCAUAUCUUCAUUAGCUGAUAAACCAGGUCCUGAUUACAUUAUAUUUCCAAUUUUCAAAGAUAUAUGUUAAGUUUGUAUAUUGGCACAAAAAAAUCAAGUUAUUGAAUGUUCCUUUUUGAGAGAGUCCUAUAAAAUAAUGUGAAAGUGCUGUAUAUAAUGCUGGAACUCACAUGAGUUAGCCAGUAUAAGUUCUGUACAAUUAAGUGUAUAUGCACACAACAGUUCAUCUUGCAUUGCUUUCUCAAAGGAUAUAGUAUUAAGCUGAAUGAGCCCAUGUAAUCAUAAUUAUAGUGCAAUCUUGUUCUGAUUAUGUUGUGAACUGUUUAACUGCUAUAUAUAUAGUGAAUAUAUUACAAUCUUACAACAUAUAUAUUUUGUAUAUUAAUACAAUCACUUAUGUUUCAUGGAUUAAUAUGCUUAUUUUUUUUAAUGUUAUAGAUGUAUUGUGUCCAAUUUUAAUAAUUCAGUUUAAAGUCUCAUAAUUAAAUAUGUUUACUAAUUGCAUACAUUGUUAUAUUCAAUGAUUGAAUGGCGUUAACAAUGUCAACUACAGGGGAUUUAUAUUCAUUUCAAACUGCUGAGGGGGUCAAACCAUUUUUCUGGGUUAUUUGCAGAAGCUUAAAAAUCUAAAAUAUUCACAAUGCUGUUUCACAUAUUAAAAUAGUUAAGUACAGGUUGAUUGUCAAAUAAUUGCAGUCUGUGAUGACUAAUUUUAAGUAAACUCAAUCUGUUUUAUUUACCUUGUUAUGUUUAAAGCUGCACUCCAACAGAUUUACCAUUUUUACAACUUUUUUUUUAUUUUUUGUCUUGGAAAGAGCACAUUUUUGUGUAGAUAUCUGCAAACCAUUGAUAUAAGUUUGCUGACAAAAAAUCAGAUCGGAGAGUUUCAUAUUUCCGUUCGAAAAUUAAUGUUUUAUGGCUUAAACUGUUACUAAGGGUUUAAGAAAAAUGCAUAAAACAUCAUUUUUUAAACUUAAAUAUAAAAAUUUGCGAUGUAUUUUUUUGUCAGCAUUCUUGUAUAACUGGUUUCCAUGGAUUCUCGCAAAAAUUGGCUAAUUCCAAGACAAAAAAUAAAAAAGUUGUCAAAACCUUCAAUCUGUGAGAGUGCCGCUUUAAAGAAGGAAUCAUUAUUCUGUACUAUUACAUGCUUGUAUGAUAUUUAGUAUUGUGAUAAUUAGUAUAUUUAUUGUGUUUGUAUUUAUGAUUUUUUUUUCAACCAUUAAAAUAUUCAAUUUCUUU